Molecule: small RNA, 290 nt
Filed under: Pongo abelii (Sumatran orangutan)
Lineage: Eukaryota; Metazoa; Chordata; Mammalia; Primates; Hominidae
Description: retained intron
Source: RNAcentral
UUUCCGGGGAUUCGGUCAAGACCAUCGCCAAGCUAUGGGACAGUAAGAUGUUUGCUGAGAUUAUGAUGAAGAUUGAGGAGUAUAUCAGCAAGCAAGCCAAAGCUUCAGAAGGUGCUUCCUCCCACUGUGUACCCCUCCCCAUCUCCUGUCUCUCCUGCCAGGCCCCCUGGCUCCCUGGCUGCUUGUGGCUGGGUAUAUCUCCCUCUCAGCCUUUUCUAGAGCCUUCUUUUUUUUGUUGUUUCUCCCCAACCCGUUCCCUUUUCCACUAAAUAUAUAUUGCAUUGUAAAGC